AAUUAAGCAUAUCAAUAAGCGGAGGAAAAGAAACUAACAAGGAUUCCCCUAGUAACUGCGAGUGAAGCGGGAAAAGCUCAAAUUUAAAAUCUGGUAGUCUUUGGCUGCCCGAGUUGUAAUCUAGAGAAGUGUUAUCCGCGCUGGACCGUGUACAAGUCUCCUGGAAUGGAGCGUCAUAGAGGGUGAGAAUCCCGUCUUUGACACGGACUACCAGGGCUUUGUGAUGUGCUCUCAAAGAGUCGAGUUGUUUGGGAAUGCAGCUCUAAAUGGGUGGUAAAUUCCAUCUAAAGCUAAAUAUUGGCGAGAGACCGAUAGCGAACAAGUACCGUGAGGGAAAGAUGAAAAGAACUUUGGAAAGAGAGUUAAACAGUACGUGAAAUUGUUGAAAGGGAAACGCUUGAAGUCAGUCGCGUUGGCCAGGGAUCAACCUUGCUUUUCUGCUUGGUGUACUUUCUGGUUGAUGGGUCAGCAUCAAUUUUGACCAGUGGAAAAAGGUCAGGGGAAUGUGGCAUCUUCGGAUGUGUUAUAGCCCUUGGUUGCAUACAUUGGUUGGGAUUGAGGAACUCAGCACGCCGCAAGGCCGGGUAACUAUUACCACGAUCGUGCUUAGGAUGCUGGCAUAAUGGCUUUAAUCGACCCGUCUUGAAACACGGACCAAGGAGUCUAACAUGCCUGCGAGUGUUGGGGGUGGGAAAA
This 696-nucleotide ribosomal RNA is filed under the name uncultured Entoloma. Its description in RNAcentral is "eukaryotic LSU rRNA". It matches the Rfam family "Eukaryotic large subunit ribosomal RNA", at positions 32 to 706 of the family's 3401-position model. The record is from RNAcentral. Lineage: Eukaryota; Fungi; Basidiomycota; Agaricomycetes; Agaricales; Entolomataceae.